AGAGUUCGAUCCUGGCUCAGGAUGAACGCUGGCGGCGUGCUUAACACAUGCAAGUCGAACGGGAAUUAUUUUAUUGAAACUUCGGUCGAUUUAAUUUAAUUCUAGUGGCGGACGGGUGAGUAACGCGUGAGGAACCUGCCUUGAAGAGGGGGACAACAGUUGGAAACGACUGCUAAUACCGCAUGACGCAUAGAGGUCGCAUGAUCUUUAUGCCAAAGAUUUAUCGCUUCAAGAUGGCCUCGCGUCUGAUUAGCUAGUUGGCGGGGUAACGGCCCACCAAGGCGACGAUCAGUAGCCGGACUGAGAGGUUGAACGGCCACAUUGGGACUGAGAUACGGCCCAG
This 343-nucleotide ribosomal RNA is filed under the name uncultured bacterium. RNAcentral describes it as "bacterial SSU rRNA". It matches the Rfam family "Bacterial small subunit ribosomal RNA", at positions 8 to 334 of the family's 1533-position model. The record is from RNAcentral.